AACGAAGGAGGCAAGCGUUAUCAGGAUUUACUGGGCGUAAAGCGCGUGCAGGCGGAGGAUUAAGUCGGGCGUGAAAGCGCCCAGCUCAACUGGGCGAGGUCGGGCGAGACUGGUUCACUAGAGACAGACAGAGGCGAGUAGAAUUCCGGGUGUAGUGGUGAAAUGCGUAGAGAUCCGGAGGAAUACCAGUGGCGAAGGCGGCUCGCUGGGUCUGUUCUGACGCUCAGACGCGACAGCAUGGGGAGCGCACGGG
Molecule: ribosomal RNA, 253 nt
Filed under: uncultured bacterium
Lineage: Bacteria
Description: partial 16S ribosomal RNA
Rfam family: Bacterial small subunit ribosomal RNA
Source: RNAcentral